GAGGCCACUCCUCUCCUAUGCUCCUUAAAUAGUUAAAUGCAUUGGUCAGCUGGGAGCAAGCCUGACAACUGAAAGAGGUGCUGCUGCCAGGACAAAGCCAGGUCCGCAUAGGCCUGGUGUGGCACAAGAGCAGCCACUACUCCUUCCCCUAGUUGCCACUAAAGUCAGAUCCUACCCUAGACUUUGUCUUUCUCAUUUUGGGUUCCAGUGGAAGCAUAAGAUGGCUCUCAGCAACCAUACAAACAGUAGUUCGGUCACGCCGAAUUUACUCCACAUGUUUGUGGAACAAAAGAAGACACUUCGGUUCACUAAUUUCAGCAACCCAGCCUUGGAGCUGCAAGAGGAGAUAAUGGCCUCCUUUUAUAUCCUCAUCAUCGUCGGGUUUUUUGGCUUUCUUCUCUUUGUCAUGAUGCUCAGCAAUAUUGUUUCCAGCAAGCCUGAAAACUACAUUGACUACCUCUAUUCUGGGAAGCUUAACCCUCAGAGAAGCAAUGUGGAGCUUCCAGGAAAGGAGAUCAAAGACACUUUCAUUGCUAUCAACAGCGCUGCCUUACUGGAACUGCAAAGGCAGGAUGGCAAAAACCACUCUGGGCCUGAGGCGCCAAACACAGAUGCAGUCCCGAAGAAUGUAUGAAAAAGGUUUCUUUUCAUUAUCAUUCUGUUGUGCAUACAGAGCGUAAACAGGGAUAUUUUUCAUAAAUGAAGGCAAGAGAUGAGGAGCUGUGCCAGAACAGAUGCAGGCAGGUUUUGUGCAAGCUUCCCACAUGGUGCUGUGAAGGUACUCGAGCACAACCUGUGGUACUUCAGCCCCAGGCCUUUGGAGAAGAGGCUGGAAAUCAAGUCCUUGCUGGCCUAGCUCUUUCAUGGCUGUUUCUAUCAUGUUUUAAUAGCUUGACUUUUGGGAGAAUGGAAGGGCCUCCCUUUGCAUGGCGUUGUUUCAAGCAGGGUCAGCAUGUUUCCAGAUGGAGCGCUGCUGUUGUGCCUGUUUGCUGUUAUUAUUUAUUCACUGAUUUAUUUGGGGGGGUCUGAGCUACCAGCAAGCAGAAAGAGCCACAACGGCCUAUGCAUCCACCCUUGCCACCACACCAGGCACCCAGAGGUGGAAGCAAGCUGACCCAUGUUCGGCCCCUCCUGAAUGAAAGAUUUCAAGGGUCUGGAGGCACGUGUCAGACUCGAACUUGUUUGCUCUCUUGGCAGGCUUUGUCUGCAGCAGGUUUUUGACAGUGGUCGUGCAUUUCUCAGCAGCUCUCUUCCUGCAUGUCAGCCCUUCACCAAGGCCCAGGACAAUAAGGAAGGGCAAGACAUCCAGAGGUCCUUCCAGUGUCUCUCCCAGGGCCCACCUGGACAGCAUUUGAGCUGACAAGCCACAGCUGUAGCCUGCUGGAUUGUGUCACUAUUGUGUCAAUAAUCCCUGAUAAAUUCCUUCAGUGUUUAGUGCUAACCCCCCCAACAUGAAAUCCUAUUGAGCCCUUAACCCCUACUACUUCCUCGGGUGGUAGAGAGUAAGCAGGGGGCUUGCCAUGGUAGUUUUAGGGGUGUCUUCUGCAGGUCACCAAGCCUCAACAGACACAAGAAAGAGGGGUUUGAUGACCACACAGCUCAGGGGUGUUCAAUUCAUGACCUGUAGAGCCCUGGUAUACAGUGGCCCAGGACAGACAGCGAUGGCAAGGCAAACAUUGGCAGUGGGCUUCAGUUUGCUAUAUUUGGUCCGCACAUUCAUUGGAAAAAGCUCUGGAGUCUGCAAAACAAAAUGGUUGGAAACUGGUGGUGCAGACGCUCUGAGAACUUUAAGGCAUUUUGUUAUAGAAGGAAAAAUCCUAUGAAACCAUAUGAAAACCUCAACCAUACACAAAAUUGUAUGCCUGUGGGGCGGGUGUUGCUGGUUUCACUCAGCCUCCUUUAUGUUGUUGCUAUGUGUGCUUGCUUUUUGUUACUGUUAGGAAAAAGUUCUCAACCAUUUUAUACCCUAGUAAAUAUUCCUUCUUAACUUUUCUUGAACAUGUUUUUACUCCACCUGUAGCUUCAUGUUUUGCUACUGCAAUUUCAUUCUUUUUUUUUCUUUUUUUUUCUUUAAUGUACCCUUUGCUGCCAUGAUAUAGUGUUAUUAUUAUGGGGUUUUGCCACUGUUUCGUCCAAGCCAACUGCCUGGAAAUGAUUUACUUAAUGUGGGACAAAUCCUUAAUGGGAAUUUCCACAGCCUGAUCUCAUAAGACACGUUCCAAGGCUGAUACUUCCAGCUGAUAGCCAAGAUGAAAUCCACACUGCUCUCUUGGCUUUCCACACUUCUUUCUUGAAUUCCAAAGAUUCAGCUUUCCAGCACAGACAUCUCCUUUUUUGGACAGGUGCAUAUUCCCCAGACACUGUCUCCAGUAGAGGCCAAUUAGGCAGUUGAGUUAGUUUUGGACUCCAUUGCCUUUGGCCUUAUUACCAUGUCUGGUUUAAUGACUGCUCAGCUUCAGCCAGGAUCUGCUAUUUAUACUCACUGCUCCUGACUACGCUCAGUAGCCGUGCUCCCGCUGCUGCAGCUCAACUAUUCAGAUCUGGAAAAUGAGAGGUGUUUUGAAGGUAGAAAAAUUUGCAGUUCCAGGUUUGUUCCUUCUACCCAGUGUGGGGGUUUUCUGGAAGGUGGCAAGUGUCACUGUCCAUUCUGGAGAAGGGUCAAUUUCUGCCCAGUACCAGUAUGAAAAGACUUCAGCUUGACAUUUUGCAAUAGUGACAAUUCCUCCUCUUUUGUAGACCCAUUUUAUCAAUUUUUCCACUCAUGCAAUGGUGUCAGGAAGCAGAACCAAACCUCUCUUUCCAUCGUGAGUGUUAGAUACAGGUUUCAGACAUCCAUCACCCAUGCCAGGUUCUGUGCAGUGAAAUCUUAACUCCUGCAUCACUGGCUGCUGCUUUUCUGGAUGGGCUUAUGGGAAAGCGCCAGGCAGGAGGGUGAACUCCAGAGCCAUGGGAAGUGCUCUUUACCUCCCUGCAAACCCAGCUUCUGAAAACCAAUUCACUGCUGAGGUAUGACAGAAAUCUAUUGAUAUCCCCAUUGGUGGCCCUUUGGGGACAAGCCCAUUCCCACUCACAUCAUAGACUAGUUUGGGUUGGAAAGGACCUUCAAAUACAUCUAGUCCGACCCCCUGCAAUGAGCAGGGACAUCUUCAACUAGAUCAGGUUGCUCAGAGCCCCGUCCAGCUUGGCCUUGAAUGUCUCCACGGAUGGGACAUCCACCACCUCUCUGGGCAACCUGUGCCAGUGUUUCAACAGCCUCACUGUAAAAAAUUCAUUUCUUGUGUUUUGCUUGAAUCUCCCCUCCUUUAGUUUAACACCAUUACCCCUUGUCCUGUCACAACAGGUCCUGCUAAAAUGUCUGUCCUCAUCUUUUUCACAGGCCCCUUUUAAGUACUGAAAGGCUAUCUCAUUCCUCAAGAGUCCAGGCCAUAGUUAGCCCAGUAUUUCUACCUGAAAUUGUGGUCAUACUCAGGCAGAAGCUGUGACUGUGAUGCCACCAAGGGGAAGGCUGCUGAGAUCAACCUUGGCUGAGAAUCCCUAAUGCUCAAACCCAAAUUUCAUCAGUUUUCACAAGGUGCCUUGCUGCUCUUUGUGGAAAACUGCCAGCAGUUGUACUAGCCCUGUUCUGAGAAGUUCAGGGCUCUUACUCUAGGUAUUGGCUUAAUUUAUUUUCUGAAGUUUCCACCUUUUUCUGUGUUUUCACUCUGAAGCCAUCUUUGAUUUUGGCAAGUGCUUCUCUUAUUGAUUCCAUCACAGAUCAAAAGGUAAAAUUACACACUUUUGGAAAGUCUCAUUUGAUACCAGAAAUACUCCUUUGGCAUGGGACUUCAUCAGACAGCUAGGAGGGAAAACAGAUUAUUUAAACUGGGUGUGGUAUUUGUCAGAAAAAGAAUCCUAAUUUUUAUCACUCCAUGUAAGACUGGAAGAGAACUAAACUCCCUGUAGAAUAAUGGUCUCAAGUGUUGGUUUUGGAAAAAAAAAUCAGACUUACAAAACAUUUUAUUUAGAUAAAAACAAAACAUUAAAUUUCAAAACUAGCAACUUAGUUUUAGCUGCUACAUGUAAUAUAAUACAGCAGUAAAAACAUGCUGUUUGCUUAACAUCUUGCCUACUGUUUAUGUGUAUUUAAUUAUGUUCUGUAUUUCACUAUGUUUUUAUUUGGGAUUUUAAAAUAAAAGGUUUGUAAUUAUUUUUAGCUUGCA
Columba livia (rock pigeon) is the source of this 4199-nucleotide long non-coding RNA. RefSeq lists it as uncharacterized. Lineage: Eukaryota; Metazoa; Chordata; Aves; Columbiformes; Columbidae. The record is from RefSeq and is a predicted model, not a curated record. The transcript has 3 exons.